AUACGUAGGGGGCGAGCGUUGUCCGGAAUUACUGGGCGUAAAGGGUGCGUAGGCGGUCUUUUAAGUCAGAUGUGAAAUACCAGGGCUCAACCUUGGGGGUGCAUUUGAAACUGGGGGACUUGAGUGCAGGAGAGGAAAGUGGAAUUCCUAGUGUAGCGGUGAAAUGCGUAGAGAUUAGGAGGAACACCAGUGGCGAAGGCGACUUUCUGGACUGUAACUGACGCUGAGGCACGAAAGCGUGGGGAGCAAACAGGAUUAGAUACCCUGGUAGUCCACGCCGUAAACGAUGGAUACUAGGUGUAGGGGGCAUCGACCCCCUCUGUGCCGGAGUUAACGCAAUAAGUAUCCCGCCUGGGGAGUACGGCCGCAAGGUUGAA
RNAcentral lists this ribosomal RNA (377 nucleotides) under uncultured bacterium. RNAcentral's name for it is "bacterial SSU rRNA". It matches the Rfam family "Bacterial small subunit ribosomal RNA", at positions 523 to 898 of the family's 1533-position model. The record is from RNAcentral.